GUUCCCAUAGUUGAAGUACAACGAUGGCGUUUCAAGUCAUUAGUUCUGGUUAGAGUCCAGGUGGGAAUU
This 69-nucleotide transfer RNA is filed under the name Girella punctata (largescale blackfish). RNAcentral's name for it is "tRNA-Glu". It matches the Rfam family "tRNA". Rfam says of the family: Transfer RNA (tRNA) molecules are approximately 80 nucleotides in length. RNAcentral also lists the same sequence under 1 other name. Lineage: Eukaryota; Metazoa; Chordata; Actinopteri; Centrarchiformes; Girellidae. The record is from RNAcentral.